This 21-nucleotide microRNA is filed under the name Fragaria vesca subsp. vesca. RNAcentral describes it as "fve-miR11302". The record is from miRBase by way of RNAcentral. Lineage: Eukaryota; Viridiplantae; Streptophyta; Magnoliopsida; Rosales; Rosaceae.
AGGACCGCCAUCACGUUUUGG